GAGGAUGAGCACCUCCGCAGGAGGUUCGAGCCUCGCGAAGCGAGACAACGUUGCUUCAGCAACGGCCCGCAGGGCGCGCAUCCAAGAUGCGCGUAAUCCUC
This 101-nucleotide small RNA is filed under the name Serratia marcescens. RNAcentral's name for it is "RtT sRNA". It matches the Rfam family "RtT RNA", at positions 18 to 118 of the family's 130-position model. Rfam says of the family: This family represents a bacterial cis-regulatory element known as RtT RNA. The exact function of RtT is unknown although it is thought that it may be involved in changing the cellular response in relation to amino acid starvation. The record is from RNAcentral. RNAcentral also lists the same sequence under 1 other name. Lineage: Bacteria; Pseudomonadati; Pseudomonadota; Gammaproteobacteria; Enterobacterales; Yersiniaceae.